GCGGAGGGAUCAUUACCGAGUUUACAACUCCCAAACCCCUGUGAACAUACCACUUGUUGCCUCGGCGGAUCAGCCCGCUCCCGGUAAAACGGGACGGCCCGCCAGAGGACCCCUAAACUCUGUUUCUAUAUGUAACUUCUGAGUAAAACCAUAAAUAAAUCAAAACUUUCAACAACGGAUCUCUUGGUUCUGGCAUCGAUGAAGAACGCAGCAAAAUGCGAUAAGUAAUGUGAAUUGCAGAAUUCAGUGAAUCAUCGAAUCUUUGAACGCACAUUGCGCCCGCCAGUAUUCUGGCGGGCAUGCCUGUUCGAGCGUCAUUUCAACCCUCAAGCACAGCUUGGUGUUGGGACUCGCGUUAAUUCGCGUUCCUCAAAUUGAUUGGCGGUCACGUCGAGCUUCCAUAGCGUAGUAGUAAAACCCUCGUUACUGGUAAUCGUCGCGGCCACGCCGUUAAACCCCAACUUCUGAAUGUUGACCUCGGAUCAGGUAGGAAUACCCGCUGAACUUA
Molecule: ribosomal RNA, 508 nt
Filed under: Fusarium oxysporum f. sp. ranunculi
Lineage: Eukaryota; Fungi; Ascomycota; Sordariomycetes; Hypocreales; Nectriaceae
Description: eukaryotic LSU rRNA
Rfam family: 5.8S ribosomal RNA (bases 164-317)
Source: RNAcentral